UCCAGACUCCUACGGGAGGCAGCAGUGGGGAAUAUUGGGCAAUGGGCGCAAGCCUGACCCAGCAACGCCGCGUGAAGGAAGAAGGCUUUCGGGUUGUAAACUUCUUUUGUCAGGGACGAAGCAAGUGACGGUACCUGGCGAAUAAGCCACGGCUAACUACGUGCCAGCAGCCGCGGUAAUACGUAGGUGGCAAGCGUUAUCCGGAUUUACUGGGUGUAAAGGGCGUGUAGGCGGGACUGCAAGUCAGAUGUGAAAACCACGGGCUCAACCUGUGGCCUGCAUUUGAAACUGUAGUUCUUGAGUACUGGAGAGGCAGACGGAAUUCCUAGUGUAGCGGUGAAAUGCGUAGAUAUACGGAGGAACACCAGUGGCGAAGGCGGAUUGCUGGACAGUAACUGACGCUGAGGCGCGAAAGCGUGGGGAGCAAACAGGAUUAGAUACCCCAGUAA
RNAcentral lists this ribosomal RNA (449 nucleotides) under uncultured bacterium. Its description in RNAcentral is "bacterial SSU rRNA". It matches the Rfam family "Bacterial small subunit ribosomal RNA", at positions 330 to 793 of the family's 1533-position model. The record is from RNAcentral.